This is a long non-coding RNA of Panicum virgatum (switchgrass), 2300 nucleotides long. RefSeq lists it as uncharacterized. The record is from RefSeq and is a predicted model, not a curated record. The transcript has 5 exons. Lineage: Eukaryota; Viridiplantae; Streptophyta; Magnoliopsida; Poales; Poaceae.
UUUAAUUCCAUUAUCAUAGAAAUAUGAGAUAACAGUGGAUAUUUCCAGCAAAGAUCAUGGUGUUUCUUCUCUUGGACUAGGUCCAAUUUUUAUUUCCCAAUAGAAUACAAUGACAAACACAUAUUAGCACAUGUUUGGCAUAGGCUUGACACAUGCAGUGAGGCAAUUGUUGAUUACAUUUUAGUGACACAAAUAGUCAAGUUCAGACUAAAUAGUGAACAAACCAUUUUUUAGUGAUGCAUUCAAACAGGAAUUGGAUGGAUCCUCGCAAAAAGUACAUAGAGAGUUUGGAUGAAUAAUGGGUGUGCACACCUGAACUCAAUUGGAUCUUAAAGCAUCUGGAGUCAUGAUCUCUCUGAAUUUUGUAAUGAAAAAGAAGCAACAUGAUUGAGCUUUGGUACAUAACUAAAUAAAGCAUUAUGAAGAUAUGUAUGGAGCUAUUUGUUUUCUUUUUUGAAAGACUGAUGGAGUUAUUGUUUUAGGAUAAUAGUUCCAGCUAUAGUAACUAUAAUAAAUAUCCUGAUUUGGAUAACAUCAAGUCCAACAAAUAUCUUUGGAUAAUAUUAAAAGUAUAGUCGCUAUUUGGAUUGAACACCUUACCAAUAUUAUUUGGUAAGGUGUUCAAUCCAAAUAGUUAUUUGAUCAGGUUCAUGCUCUGAAUAUUCUAGACUAUCUGAAUUCAUGCAUUUGGAUGUUUGGCUUGCAGACACAAGUCAUUACCUGGAGGUCCAAAAGAUAAUCUCAGUGGAAGACAUACUCACAAAGAUCAAUGAUUUUCAUACUUUCUCAUUGUACUCACGAGGGAUGCCACUCCAUAGUAUUUGUAGGGAUCUGUAUUAUCUCUUUAACAUUGCACAACCUAAUAUGGAUCUCUUUACUUAGGAAGAGUUGUGCCCAAAUCCUUCAUGAAAUAUCUUAAACCUUGAUUGAUGGAUUUGGUUUCUGCAGGCUGCGUGGCUCAUCUUGAAGAACUUAAUCCACUAAACUACAAACACAUGGCUAUAUCACACCCGUAGGCUGAUUCAUACUAUGGUGGUGCAGUGGCAGCUUAUGGGCAUAUGGGCAGCAUGCUAUUGUGUACCGUGAUGUAGUCAAGCCCAUAAUUCAAAUUAUAUUUCAGAGAAUGAAAGAAACAUGUUUUGCUUGUGGCCAAAUAGGAUAGUUCUUACAAGGAAGCUUAUCUUAUACAUUAUAUUUUUAUGCAUAAAUGAAUUGUAGUUUGCGAUAGUUUAUGCUGAUCCUGUCAACAUCAUAUUGCGACCUUUUUCUGUCAUUAGUAUACUGGACUUUAUCAACUGCUUCAUGACAGAAUAUAGUGUUAUCCUUCCUAAAAGGCCGGAUAAUCAUGUCCAUUGAAAAUGCUACCAGUUGCAUUUUUGUUCCAUUGCCGAAUAUAAUAUACCUUUUCUACGUGCCAAUUAUAGAGGUUAGCAAAUAUUAACUGACUUAUCAUAAUUUUUUGGACCAUUUAUGAUCACAGUUUGAGUCAUUCGCUUUUUAUCUAUCCAUUUGCAGAACUAUUCAACUUGCAACUGUGGGGAUAAUGUAUUUCCAUAGGUGCAGUUUGUGAAGCACGUUUCAACAAUGCUCUUUAAAUGACACUAUACUACAAGAUGAGUGGAUCUUCAACAAACAGCCAAGAAGGUAAUUCUCUUUCAAAUUGAUGUAUAUAGCAUCUCAUCCUCUAGCUGCGCUACUUCAACAGAGCUCUAUAGUAAUAGUGUAAUAAGAAUGAACUUAAUACCAGUUAAAGAACACACUAAUGUUGGUUCAGAUUAUGAAUCUUCAUAAAGAUUCCCACUUUAUCGAUUGUAGUAUCCUAUAAACGUUAUAGUAUCAUGUGAAUUUGCAAGAUUUAGUUGCUUCAAUAGAUUAAUUUAUAUGACAUACUAAACCUCAGUUUAAGGCGACAAAUUUUGUACUAAUAACAUCUAGAAUAUCUAACUGAAAUUUCUGGAGUGGAUACAGUUUAGUCCCUUUUGUUUAUUUGUAAUACCUGAAGCUUCAUCAUAUGGUCAUGACAAUGGGAUGACAAGGGGCUCAUGCGAGAAAAUGAGCCAAAAAAUUGGUAAACUAACAUACCAGUCCCUCCAAUAGCACAACAAGGCAUCGAGACCUUCCCAAGUGAAGCAAGUGGGAAAUACAAUGUCAUUCCCAAGACCCCAAUCCAUUUCCUGUUUCUGUGUCUCUACUUAUGUAUGUUUGUAAAACUAUGAACCUGUAUAUAAUUAGAUAUCUACAACUGUACUCACCAGUCAAUGGAAAUAUUGUUCAUAUUAUUAGUUUAUACUGCCAGGUCA